UAGGGAAUCUUCCGCAAUGGACGCAAGUCUGACGGAGCAACGCCGCGUGAGUGAAGAAGGAUUUCGGUUCGUAAAACUCUGUUGUUAGAGAAGAACAGCGCAUAGAGUAACUGUUAUGCGUGUGACGGUAUCUAACCAGAAAGCCACGGCUAACUACGUGCCAGCAGCCGCGGUAAUACGUAGGUGGCAAGCGUUGUCCGGAUUUAUUGGGCGUAAAGCGAGCGCAGGCGGUCAAUUAAGUCUGAUGUGAAAGCCCCCGGCUCAACCGGGGAGGGUCAUUGGAAACUGGUUGACUUAAGUGCAGAAGAGGAGAGUGGAAUUCCAUGUGUAGCGGUGAAAUGCGUAGAUAUAUGGAGGAACACCAGUGGCGAAGGCGACUCUCUGGUCUGUAACUGACGCUGAGGCUCGAAAGCGUGGGUAGCAAACAGG
RNAcentral lists this ribosomal RNA (429 nucleotides) under Bacteroidota bacterium. RNAcentral's name for it is "Bacteroidetes bacterium partial 16S ribosomal RNA". It matches the Rfam family "Bacterial small subunit ribosomal RNA", at positions 355 to 776 of the family's 1533-position model. The record is from RNAcentral. Lineage: Bacteria; Pseudomonadati; Bacteroidota.